RNAcentral lists this small RNA (607 nucleotides) under Vigna angularis var. angularis. RNAcentral describes it as "Non-protein coding transcript". Lineage: Eukaryota; Viridiplantae; Streptophyta; Magnoliopsida; Fabales; Fabaceae. The record is from RNAcentral.
GAAAAAAUUAUUUGGGCUAAGCAUAAUGAAAUUCAGACUGUCAAUAUAAAAGGUGUAGGAGCAGAUGUUGAGAUUGCUGAGGGAGAAAGGUUACCUUUAGCUGUUAAGGAGUUGGGCACAUGUGAUCUCUAUCCCCAAGAGUAUUGCAAAGAGAUGGAGAAAUAUUCCAAGUACAAGUAUUAAAGUCCCAAUCGUGAGCAACCUUAGGAGUAAGUUUAACUCUUUUACUGUUAGGGACACCAACAAGCAUAGAGAUACAUCUAUCUUUCAAGAAACCAAAUAUCAUUACAAAAUAUAAUUUGGUCUGUCCGAAAACUAUGUUCUGAAACCAAAUAUCAUUACAAAAUAUAAUUUCAAGACAAAUUUUCUAUUUUUAAUUAUUUUUGCUCUAAUGCAAAAUUUGGCAAAUUCAGAAAGUAGCAUUUGUACAUGAUUUAGCAAAUUAGACAUUUUGGUACAUUUACAUUGACCUCAUCAUCGGCAUUUUUCUCAUGUUUCAUGAAUCAUGAAUCAUGAAACAUCAUGUUACAUAAAGAUUGAGUAACAUAUAAGAUUAAAUUCCAUCCCCGUUUAGAACUUAUUUAUAUACCAAUAUGUAGUGGCAGGC